GGAUGAUCUACCCAUGAGUUAGGAAUAACGGCUGGAAACGGUCGCUAAUACCAAAUACGCUCCGAUUUCAACUUCGGGGGGAAAGGUGGCCUCUGCUUGCAAGCUACUGCUCAUGGAUGAGUCCGCGUCCCAUUAGCUAGUUGGUGGGGUAACGGCCCACCAAGGCGACGAUGGGUAGCCGGUCUGAGAGGAUGACCGGCCACACUGGGACUGGAACACGGCCCAGACCCCUACGGGAGGCAGCAGUGGGGAAUAUUGCGCAAUGGGCGAAAGCCUGACGCAGCGACGCCGCGUGAGGGAUGAAAGGUCCUCGGAUCGUAAACCUCUGUCAGGAGGGAAGAACCGCCACGGUGCUAAUCAGCCGUGGUCUGACGGUACCUCCAAAGGAAGCACCGGCUAACUCCGUGCCAGCAGCUGC
RNAcentral lists this ribosomal RNA (418 nucleotides) under uncultured bacterium. RNAcentral describes it as "bacterial SSU rRNA". It matches the Rfam family "Bacterial small subunit ribosomal RNA", at positions 119 to 518 of the family's 1533-position model. The record is from RNAcentral.